UGUGAGGGAGAUGGUUUGAAUGAUUAAAUCUUUCCUUUCUUAAGGCAAACUAUAAAUCUAGAUCUAGACUAGCAAUAGAACCUCAACUUGCAUGCAGGCUAACAAUAAGUUGAAAUCACCUUUCAGUAUAACACUUUAAAAUUCAAGUUGCUUUUGUUGUUAUAUUAAUAAUUAUAUCCACUGCAAAAAUACCAUGCUGAAAAGCUAGCUAUAAAACUGUGAAGCCAUAAAAGGUAUACAGGUAAUAUAUUUUCCAGCAAAUCUUUGACAUUGUAUAUACCUGCAUACAUGAUGUAUCAAUAUUCAAUUAAUAUAACCAAUCUUUGAUCAAUUUACAAGAGAAUUGAAAACUGCAUGUAUGUUGGCUGUGAUUAAAUAUCUGAUCAAUACCCAUGCAGUAUAUAAUAGUUAUACAACAUAUUUCAAUUCUGAUUGCUUCUGUAUUCUGGCCUUUAAGGCAUGUCAAACAUAAGUUAGUUUUGGUACUACAAAUAAAUUCAGUGACAAUUCUCAUUAUAUAAGUUUAAAAAUACAAACAUGAUUGCAUGAUAUCAAUGAUUGUUUCACAAUUAACAACUUGGGCUACAGAAAUUGCCCAGUAUUUAAAUCAAUAAUCACAAUAACACUACAACUGAGCAACCUGCUGGUGAAAUAUAUUUCCCCCUACCUAUAUGUAGGCCCUACAGAGGUUCACAUGUAUAUACUGUAGUUUCUGAACAAGUUCUGCCUUCUUGAAAAGGUCAAUGAGUCCAUUUGUUUUCAUACACAUAGCAUAAUUCCUUCGCUACUUGUAUAAUUUGUAAUUCCUCUGCUUACUCCGUGCUAUUGCAGUAUGGAAGCAUUCGAUUUUCCGCUCCUAUAGUCCUAAUUGCAGCAUUAUUGGGUUCAACAAACACAUAUAUGCAACUACAUGCACCAACAAUACGUUUGAACUAUUUUCUUGUACACAUUCAUAUAUACUUUCUUUCCAGCUUGUAACUCGUGUCCUUACUGCUUAUGGAAGUAAUCCUCUUGUGACGCGCCUUCAUUGUUGUUAUAACUUAUAAAGUUUAUAGGCUUAUAGAUUCAAUCCAUCCAGUGCAAACAAAAAUUCGCACGCAAGCUAUCAAAUGUAUCCAUAAUAAAAAUCGUUGGGACUGAUUUGAAUGUUGUGACUUGUGUUGGACAGUCUUCCCUGACGCUACACAGCGGUUUGACAAGGAUCAUUCAUUUUACAUCGAAUUCUUGCCUCGGAGUACACAUAAAAUGUCCGAUAAAAACGUGGCUGACAUCAACCUUUAAUACCACAAAACAUAGAACUAUAUAGUUAUAGAACUUAUAGAACAAAUAUAGUACAAAAUUUUUUAAAUGGAAGACACUUAGUACCACAAAGGGCAUUUUAAAGUGUCGUAUUUCCG
Paramuricea clavata is the source of this 1397-nucleotide non-coding RNA. Lineage: Eukaryota; Metazoa; Cnidaria; Anthozoa; Malacalcyonacea; Plexauridae. The record is from the annotation of a GenBank genome assembly.